Molecule: long non-coding RNA, 531 nt
Organism: Dermacentor albipictus
Lineage: Eukaryota; Metazoa; Arthropoda; Arachnida; Ixodida; Ixodidae
Source: RefSeq, a predicted model, not a curated record
CGCUAGUCUCGCACCCAGACUAACCGAACGCAUACUCUCGCACCCGGGUUGCCCGGUCGACCGGCGCUAUUUUGUACUGGGCUGCCAAAGUGUGUUCGCCGGCGACCAGUAGACAUGGCAAGCGCCAGCUCUAGGGCUCCAAAGUGCGGAAAUGUGCCCGUUCACACGGAUCCAAAGUAGAAGAAGUCAUCUGGGCAUCAUUGCGUCGUGUUUGGAUGCCAAAACAACCAGUGGAAAAGGAGCAGGUUGCUUAGCGCUGUUUGCGAAGAGCACAACACACGUAGGGAAUCGUGCCGGUGCGGUGUUUUCAGCCUGCGCCGAUUUCCAUCCGCAACGAAGAAUGCCAAGCUGCGCCACCGGUGGAUAGCUGCAGUGAAUAGGAAGAACUACCAACCCAGUGAAAAUGCACGAUGUGCAGGUGGUGAAGGGCAGGCGUCUGCUAACCAGGCAGUCAAACGACCUCGCCAGUUGGUUGCCAAGCGCGGCCAACCCAGUAGAGACCAUUACAAACAAGACCAAACUGAAAGUGCA